RNAcentral lists this ribosomal RNA (506 nucleotides) under uncultured bacterium. RNAcentral describes it as "bacterial SSU rRNA". It matches the Rfam family "Bacterial small subunit ribosomal RNA", at positions 28 to 524 of the family's 1533-position model. The record is from RNAcentral.
GAUGAACGCUAGCGAUAGGCCUAACACAUGCAAGUCGAGGGGCAGCACAUGAGGUAGCAAUACCGAUGGUGGCGACCGGCGCACGGGUGAGUAACACGUAUGCAACCUGCCUUCAACAAGGGCAUAACCCGUUGAAAGACGGACUAAUACCCUAUAAUACAGGGGCCCCGCAUGGGGAUAUUUGUUAAAGAUUUAUCGGUUGAAGAUGGGCAUGCGUUCCAUUAGCUGGUUGGUGGGGUAACGGCCCACCAAGGCAACGAUGGAUAGGGGAACUGAGAGGUUUAUCCCCCACACUGGUACUGAGACACGGACCAGACUCCUACGGGAGGCAGCAGUGAGGAAUAUUGGUCAAUGGACGCAAGUCUGAACCAGCCACGUCGCGUGAAGGAAGACGGCCCUACGGGUUGUAAACUUCUUUUAUACGGGAAUAAAGUGCCCCACGCGUGGGGUUUUGCAUGUACCGUAUGAAUAGGAUCGGCUAACUCCGUGCCAGCAGCCGCGGUAAU